RNAcentral lists this ribosomal RNA (253 nucleotides) under uncultured bacterium. RNAcentral's name for it is "partial 16S ribosomal RNA". It matches the Rfam family "Bacterial small subunit ribosomal RNA", at positions 524 to 776 of the family's 1533-position model. The record is from RNAcentral.
UACGGGGGGGGCAAGCGUUGUUCGGAAUUACUGGGCGUAAAGGGCUCGUAGGCGGCCAACUAAGUCAAACGUGAAAUCCCUCGGCUUAACCGGGGAACUGCGCUUGAUACUGGAUGGCUUGAGAUUGGGAGAGGGAUGCGGAAUUCCAGGUGUAGCGGUGAAAUGCGCAGAUAUCAGGAGGAACACCAAUAGCGAAGGCAGCUCGCUGGGACGUUACUGACACUGAGGCGCGAAAGCGUGGGGAGCGAACAGG